GCCUAACACAUGCAAGUCGAGCGGUAGAGAGAAGCUUGCUUCUCUUGAGAGCGGCGGACGGGUGAGUAAUGCCUAGGAAUCUGCCUGGUAGUGGGGGAUAACGCUCGGAAACGGACGCUAAUACCGCAUACGUCCUACGGGAGAAAGCAGGGGACCUUCGGGCCUUGCGCUAUCAGAUGAGCCUAGGUCGGAUUAGCUAGUUGGUGAGGUAAUGGCUCACCAAGGCGACGAUCCGUAACUGGUCUGAGAGGAUGAUCAGUCACACUGGAACUGAGACACGGUCCAGACUCCUACGGGAGGCAGCAGUGGGGAAUAUUGGACAAUGGGCGAAAGCCUGAUCCAGCCAUGCCGCGUGUGUGAAGAAGGUCUUCGGAUUGUAAAGCACUUUAAGUUGGGAGGAAGGGUUGUAACCUAAUACGUUGCAAUCUUGACGUUACCGACAGAAUAAGCACCGGCUAACUCUGUGCCAGCAGCCGCGGUAAUACAGAGGGUGCAAGCGUUAAUCGGAAUUACUGGGCGUAAAGCGCGCGUAGGUGGUUUGUUAAGUUGGAUGUGAAAGCCCCGGGCUCAACCUGGGAACUGCAUUCAAAACUGACAAGCUAGAGUAUGGUAGAGGGUGGUGGAAUUUCCUGUGUAGCCGGUGAAAUGCGUAGAUAUAGGGAAGGAACACCAGUGGCGAAGGCGACCACCUGGACUGAUACUGACACUGAGGUGCGAAAGCGUGGGGAGCAAACAGGGAUUAGAUACCCUGG
RNAcentral lists this ribosomal RNA (752 nucleotides) under uncultured earthworm intestine bacterium. RNAcentral describes it as "bacterial SSU rRNA". It matches the Rfam family "Bacterial small subunit ribosomal RNA", at positions 46 to 790 of the family's 1533-position model. The record is from RNAcentral.